This 497-nucleotide ribosomal RNA is filed under the name uncultured bacterium. RNAcentral describes it as "partial 16S ribosomal RNA". It matches the Rfam family "Bacterial small subunit ribosomal RNA", at positions 30 to 523 of the family's 1533-position model. The record is from RNAcentral.
AUUGAGCGCUGGCGGCAUGCCUUACACAUGCAAGUCGAACGGUAACAGGUCUUCGGAUGCUGACGAGUGGCGAACGGGUGAGUAAUGCAUCGGAACGUGCCCAGUUGUGGGGGAUAACUGCUCGAAAGAGCAGCUAAUACCGCAUACGACCUGAGGGUGAAAGCGGGGAUCGCAAGACCUCGCGCAAUUGGAGCGGCCGAUGUCAGAUUAGGUAGUUGGUGGGGUAAAGGCCUACCAAGCCGACGAUCUGUAGUUGGUCUGAGAGGACGACCAGCCACACUGGGACUGAGACACGGCCCAGACUCCUACGGGAGGCAGCAGUGGGGAAUUUUGGACAAUGGGCGCAAGCCUGAUCCAGCAAUGCCGCGUGCAGGAAGAAGGCCUUCGGGUUGUAAACUGCUUUUGUCAGGGAAGAAAUCCUCUGGGUUAAUACCCCGGGGGGAUGACGGUACCUGAAGAAUAAGCACCGGCUAACUACGUGCCAGCCGCCGCGGUAA